This 71-nucleotide transfer RNA is filed under the name Heterocephalus glaber (naked mole-rat). It matches the Rfam family "tRNA". Rfam says of the family: Transfer RNA (tRNA) molecules are approximately 80 nucleotides in length. The record is from Rfam by way of RNAcentral. Lineage: Eukaryota; Metazoa; Chordata; Mammalia; Rodentia; Bathyergidae.
UGGGGUGUAGCUCAGUGGUAGAGCACGUGCCUAGCAUGUGUGAGGCCCUGGGUUUGAUCCCAGCACUGAAA